Non-coding RNA from Podarcis lilfordi (Lilford's wall lizard), 76 nucleotides. NCBI's taxonomy places the organism in Eukaryota, Metazoa, Chordata, Lepidosauria, Squamata, Lacertidae. The record is from the annotation of a GenBank genome assembly.
UUCUCAUUACCUCAGUCGGCAGAGCAUGAGACUCUUAAUUCCAGGGUCGUGGGUUUGAGCCCCACAUUGGGUGAAA